Molecule: long non-coding RNA, 692 nt
Filed under: Theobroma cacao (cacao)
Lineage: Eukaryota; Viridiplantae; Streptophyta; Magnoliopsida; Malvales; Malvaceae
Description: long non-coding RNA (TCAC_LNC001901)
Source: RNAcentral
UUUAUGUGCAAGAGAGCUCAAUGGAUGAUGAACUGUGCAAAAUGGCUUGAGGUAUCUCUUGAGCAUACUAUAGUAUUUUGAGUGCAACUUGAGCUACAGAAGUCUUACCACCAUAAUUCUUGGACCUCAGGAAAGAUAAGAGGAAGGGCUACAACUUUUGUGUUUAUCACUUUACCAAGUUCUGAUCUAAUUAUGGUACAAAAUGCAUUGGAAUUUGAAGGACUGUUGCAUAUUGCAAUGCAGCAAAUAGAGGGCCUAAUGCCUAGGCACCAGCCACCCAGCACCUAGGUACUGGCCACUCCUCAAACACAGCAAAAAGGGAUAGAGAGCCUAGUGCCUACGCACCAACCACUAUACUUUUAGGCUCCAGCACUAGGAAUUUUAAUUUGCACAUGCUCGAAUUUGGCAUUUGGGGCUUUUUAAAGGAUGAUAUAAAUAGGUCAUUUUAAGUGGGUUUUUGGGGGUUGGAAGCAUAGAAUAUUUUCUGGAAAAGAAAGCUUUCUACGAAAGGAGAAAAGGGGUUUGGUUCCAAAAAGUUGUAGCAAGUCAUUUCUCUCACUAGUUUUCCUUUCUCUCUGUAUUUUGUAUUGUAGAAAUGAGUUAUUUUCUAGAAAUAUUGAAUUUUGCUGUAACUAUUGUUGUCGAUUUUGCACUUGCAAGUAUACGUAUCGAGCAAGUAAUAUAAUGAUGAA